Molecule: ribosomal RNA, 250 nt
Filed under: uncultured bacterium
Lineage: Bacteria
Description: partial 16S ribosomal RNA
Rfam family: Bacterial small subunit ribosomal RNA
Source: RNAcentral
UACGUAGGGUGCGAGCGUUAUUCGGAAUUACUGGGCGUAAAGCGUGCGCAGGCGGUUGUGUAAGACAGACGUGAAAUCCCCGGGCUCAACCUGGGAACUGCGUUUGUGACUGCACGGCUAGAGUACGGCAGAGGGGGGUGGAAUUCCACGUGUAGCAGUGAAAUGCGUAGAGAUGUGGAGGAACACCGAUGGCGAAGGCAGCCCCCUGGGCCAGUACUGACGCUCAUGCACGAAAGCGUGGGGAGCAAAC